AUUGAACGCUGGCGGCAGGCCUAACACAUGCAAGUCGAGCGGAUGAAGGGAGCUUGCUCCUGGAUUCAGCGGCGGACGGGUGAGUAAUGCCUAGGAAUCUGCCUGGUAUUGGGGUAUAACGUCCGGAAACGGGCGCUAAUACCGCAUACGUCCUGAGGGAGAAAGUGGGGGAUCUUCGGACCUCACGCUAUCAGAUGGGCCUAGGUCGGAUUAGCUAGUUGGUGGGGUAAAGGCCUACCAAGGCGACGAUCCGUAACUGGGCUGAGAGGAUGAUUAGUCACACUGGAACUGAGACACGGUCCAGACUCCUACGGGAGGCAGCAGUGGGGAAUAUUGGACAAUGGGCGAAAGCCUGAUCCAGCCAGGCCGCGUGUGUGAAGAAGGUCUUCGGAUUGUAAAGCACUUUAAGUUGGGAGGGAGGGCAGUAAGUUAAUACCUUGCUGUUUUGACGUUACCAACAGAAUAAGCACCGGCUAACUUCGUG
RNAcentral lists this ribosomal RNA (484 nucleotides) under uncultured bacterium. RNAcentral describes it as "partial 16S ribosomal RNA". It matches the Rfam family "Bacterial small subunit ribosomal RNA", at positions 30 to 507 of the family's 1533-position model. The record is from RNAcentral.